AUCCCAAGCAGGCUCCUUGCUCAGCGCAGAGCCCAAUGCCAGGCUCGAUCCCAUGACCCUUGAUCAUGGAAGCCUCUUGGGGGCUCAGUCGUGACUUGAGCCAAAAUCAGGAGUCAGAUGCUUAACUGACUGAGCCACUCAGGUAACCCAAAAGGGAGAUAGUAUACUUUCAAAUGACAUGGAUCGGUAUUUCAUGAUAUAGCCAAAACUUGGCUUUAUUUUCCUAAUUUCUCCCAUGCUUCAUCUAAAAUUUUAAGAAAGUGACUAGAAUUUGAAAUCCAAAUAGGAUCUGUACUUGGAUUUUCUGUCUAAGGGGCAUCUAUUUGGUAAAAAACCUUUACUAGAAUUGUUUGUUCUUUGUCUUCCUUAAACAUGCUUUUUUUUCCUCCCUAACCAAACCUAGACAAAGAACAAAUCCAUAUAUGAUUGUAGCAGGGAAUAUAGGCCUGAAGGAGUAGUUGAGAGUUAAAAAUCCUUAUUUUUAAGGAUUGUAUUUUUUGAAGAAAAUUAACUACAGGUUGAAACUAUCAGGAAUCAGGCAGGUGAUAGGAUUCCCCCCACGUGAAAAAAGUGUGGUUGAAUUAAAGAAUAUGUAAUUGCUGUUUAUUCCUACUAUUAUUUGAGUAAAACCUGAAAAUGUCAGUCACAUUGCUCUCUAGUGUGUUGAGAUAAACAGAAUCCCGACGUUGAAAUGAACUUCCUUUCAUUCAUUCAUUGAUUCAUUCAUUCAUACCAUCCGUGUUUAUUGGAUGCAUUGUGCGUGCCAGGCAGUGUACUGAGCCUCACUGAUACAAAGUACAUUUCUGAAUAAAACGGACAUGAGUGCUGCCCCCGUGGAUUUUACAGUUUGGCAAUGUUGGGGAAGGAAUUUGAGUUGGAGCAGGAAGCACAGACAGUACACAGAUAAUUAAUAUAUUAGAAUCAUGAUCAGCCCUACAAAAGAAAAUCAAACCUGGCUCCUCUGAGGGAAUGACAGUUAAAUAGAUGUCCAAAGAAUGAAUGAAUUAACCCAGCUGGGGUGAGGAGAGAAGUGAAUUAGUGGGGAGGAGGCUGCAGCCAGAAAGAAACCAGCAAAAAACAAUACGUAGAACGUCUAUACACAGAAUUCUAUACAUAGAAUACAUAGAAUGUCUGAGACAAGAAAGAACUCAGUGGAACUCAGUGGCUGCAGUGUAGAAGGCACAAGGGACAAUUGAAUGAAAUGCGUCUGGAAACCAAAAAGGGGCCAGAGGCUGAGGGGCCAUCUGAAGAUUUGAGAAUUUUCUUUUCUUAUGAACAGAAAGGCAUUACAUGUUAUAAGCAGAGAACUAUCAUGAUUAGAUUUGAAUCUUUAAAAGAUCCCUUUCCUUGUAGUGUGGAAAUUAGAUUAGCAGGAAUAGAGAAGAAUGAAAAAACUUUGGAGAGACCGGUUCAGGAGGCUGCGGCAGUAGCCAUGGUGGCUUUGAUUAGGCUUCUGGUCGUGGAGACAGAAGGAAGCAGAUCUAGUCAUGAGAUAUUUAAAGUAAGGUGAAUGGUAAGGUAGAAUGCUGGAGGAGUUGAUGAGGCAGACUUUGUAGGUGACCCCCUGGUUUCUGAAGUGAAAAAUCAGGUGGAUAAUAAGUAGUACAGUUGCCAGUAGAUGGUAUUUGGAAGAAGGUAUAUUUAAACAUGCUGUGUUUGGGGGCGCCUGGAUACUCAAGUACAGCUGUGCAGCGCAGCCACUGGCAUAAGUGAUGUUGGAGGCUGUGGAAGUGGAUGAGAUUACCCGAGAAGAGACACAGAAGUCAGCUUCAGACCAGGUCCCGUAGGACUCCAGGGCUGUUUGAAAGUUGAGUAAAAGGGGAGGAGCAGAAAAGGAGACCAGGAAGGAACAGCUGGGGCCAUGGGCAACUGAGGAGCGUAUGCUGUCCACAGGGGCCACAGGAGGACUGCUUCAGUGAGGAGGCAGCUAUCAGCUGUAUCUGUGAUGUUGAAGGGGGCUCAGCCACUGGGGACCAUUUUGGCUAAUGAAGGUCAUUGACAACCUCAGAAGGAGCUCUUUCCCUGGAAACGUAGAGGCAGAAAACAGUUUAGGAGGGAAUGAGGAGUGAACAAAAAAUGAGUAAUAGAGAAAAUGCCCAGAUAUUUUAUAAUAAAUUUAGCUAUGAGGUAGAAAAGAGAGAAUUAUAACCAGCAGGAGAUACAAAGUGCAGAAAGGGGGAUUGUUUUGUUUUAGGGUUUUUUGGGGUUUUUUUAAGAUAGAUGUUCUGCAGUAUGUUUAAUCUCUGGCAAAGAAGGAUAGUUUGAAGAUAUAAGAGAGAGAAGGGAUAAUCUGCAGUGUAAGUUUCUUGAAAAGACAGUGUUGACAUAAAGAGAAAGUGGAAAUCCCACUGAAAUCAAGUAACAGAGAGGUUGGGCUACUGAGCAAAUAAGCUGUAAGGGCACUUGUCAGAGGAUGGGAUAUUUUAGUCAUUUCAGAAAGGACAGGUAUUCAGUACUCCAGAUGUGGCUGCAGAAGUAGGUGACCCAAGUGAGGUGGAGGAGAAAAGGUGCUAGAAAUGAAGAGGUAACUUGAAUGUUGAAGGGGUUGUCCACGUGGACAGUGUACCCUAUCUAGAGCUGAGGUAUAGAGUUAACGAUUUUGAGAUAGGCCGCCGAAUCCUUUCGUGAAUGAGAGAUAGUGUUCAGUAAAUGAUGGCAGCAAAGGGUAGAAUUAGGGGAUAACUGGGCUUCAUGAGGCCCAAAAGAAUGGAAAUUUUUACAAAAAUGAGAGAGAAUGAUCUGAAACCUGCAUCAGGGACCAGAGGAUACCAGAGCUCGUAGUGUAAGGAAUAUUAGAGUGGAUGUCUCCAUCGAGAGGCCUGCUGAGAUAAUAAUGGUGUGCUCCAAGGACAGCUGUGUUCUAGUUAAAGCAAGGAAGUGGAGAGCAGCAUUUCUACAAAAGGUUAAAAGUGUAGAAGAGUUUGUUGGGCAUAAAGCCCUCAUUCCUGGGGAACCACCAGAGUUCGGGAGUAGAAAGAGAAAAGGCAGGGCGGGGAGUGGGAGGGAACUGCAGAGCAGUAGGGGAGUCACAGAAUGGGGCAGACUGAGUGAUGAGAGGAUCAUGACUUAAAGGGGUCAUGUAGCCCUGAUCCUUGUGAAUCCCCUGGAUAAAUGUGUAUUUUUAAGCCACAUGCCAAAGGGUUACUGAGUGAAGGAAGACUAAGGUGGUCUGUGGUGCAAUCUGCUGACCAGCCCUGAGGCAUUUGAUGGUUAGACCUGAUCUUCCUUCCCACCCAAAGAAGUGCUUUCUGGGGCACCUGGGUGGCUCAGUUAAGCGUCCAACUUCAGCUCAGGUCAUGAUCUCGCGGUUCAUGGGUUCGAGCCCCACGUCAGGCUCUGUGCCGACAGCUCGGAGCCUGGAGCCUGCCUCGAAUUCUGUGUCUCCCUCUCUCUCUGUUCCUCCCCUGCUCGCUCUCUCUCUCUCUCUCUCAAAAAUAAAGAUUUAAAAAAAAAAAUUUUUUUUUUUUUAAAGUGCUUUCUUCCCACGUUCCCUCUCUCCCUUUCUUCCCAAUCCUGCAGUUUCCUUCUCCUUCCCUUAAAAAAGUCUUUCUUAGCCCUUGUUUCUCUUCUAAUCCUUUCUUUGGCCUUAGACAUCCCAAGGCCACAGAUGGCGUUCGUGGCUAAGAAGGGCUGCUGACCCUUAUUAGAUAAAAGCGUUCAUCACAGUAUAAGGAAUGAGUGUGAGAAAGAAGUGCUGUGUCAGGCUUCCUGCCGUGAAGUUUAGGAAGUGAUUGCUCUAGCUACCAGUAAACAGCACGGCCUCUGUGAAACUGAGUCAUUGAGCCCAUCAAACCCAAACACCUGUUCGUUUUAUGGCACCUUUCCUAGAUACACAGGAGAGAGAUCAAGGCAGUUACGUUUGCUGUCCUGUUGGGACGGGAAUAUCGGUGUACAAAUGCUGUUUAUUAUGCUCUGACUUCUUCCUGUCUUACCUCGGUACUGAUGAACACACGAAUUAAUUGGAGCAUCUCAUAAAAAGUUGUCAGAUUACAGAAUUUACUAAAGUUAACUUUUCUUUUGUCACAGAUGCGUCAAUACUUGUAUUCCCUUUUUAUUAAGCACAGUGACUGAAUGAAUAUUGGACCUGAUAGGCUUGCAGGUUUUGCUUCUUGCCACAUUUACUUUUGCUUCUCACCGCCUUUUCUGUCACCAUUUCUGUCUGCCACUUCUGCCUUCUGCUGCCCGCCCCCUUUUCUGACUGUUGCCACAUUUCUGCCCUACUGUCUGCCACCUUCUCUUUGAAGCAUCUGCCUAUUGUUUUUUCAGACUCCCUGCAUCUGAAACUAUCCUACUGAAUAGUCACAUCAUCAGUUGUGAAGUUGAGGGAGUAUUCAUAUAUAAAAUAAAGAUGACUCUAUGUAAAUAA
This is a long non-coding RNA of Neofelis nebulosa (Clouded leopard), 4366 nucleotides long. RefSeq lists it as uncharacterized. Lineage: Eukaryota; Metazoa; Chordata; Mammalia; Carnivora; Felidae. The transcript has 2 exons. The record is from RefSeq and is a predicted model, not a curated record.